Molecule: long non-coding RNA, 314 nt
Filed under: Felis catus (domestic cat)
Lineage: Eukaryota; Metazoa; Chordata; Mammalia; Carnivora; Felidae
Description: lncRNA (ENSFCAG00000053054.1)
Source: RNAcentral
GACACACAGCCCAUCUCCAGCAGAGCGGGAAAACCUUGAGACGGCAUUGUCUUAAAGGUAGACUUUGAUCCCAAACUUGAGUCCUUUUCCAUUGCGACGCUAACUCGAAGGACAGGAUCUCCAGGUCUCUGUGGAUGAUCUCCCUGUCUCUGCUUGAGAGAAAACAGUUUGGGUGGUGUUUAUGCAUCGGUCUACAAAAUGAGAUUCUGAAAAUCUUUCUCCAUAAAGUGAAUUGUCUUUACCCCUGACGCUUCUCCUGAGACCUCUUAUUCGGUGAGUGAAUUGACAAGAGGGGUGUUAGAUAAGGGAUUUCG